UAAAAUGCAGAUUCAAAUUCACUAGGUCUGGGGUGGGGCAGCAUCUCUAGCAAAUCCCUAGGGCGUGCCCACACUGCUGGCCCAUGACCACACUGAGGAGCAGAGGUCCAACAUAGUUUGUCAUCUACAUAUUUAUUAUGUUGUACUGUUUGUCUCUCCCUCUCUGGCUAUAGCAUAAACUCCACUGAAGCAGAAUCUUCGUUUUGUUCACUCGUGUAUCCCAAGCACCUAAACAGCACCUGGAACAUGACAGACACUCAAAUAUUUAUUGCAUGAAUGAUUCAAUAGGUCCUCAAGAGACCCGUGACGGUCUUCCCUUGAUCUUGGCUUUGGUGUUGGUGAUGGCGCCAGAAGACUCAGCCCAGGCCAGAGGUCGUGGUCUGUGGGGCUCUGGUGGUCAGCAGAAGAGGCCAGGAUAGAGCGAGACGGACAAUGACCACGAGCACAGAAAGCUGCAGAGGAGCAGGAUCCAGAAGCAGAAGCUUGUGACUUGGCACCUGUUUCCGGAACCCACUAUGGCCCAACCUUCUCAGAAGAUUUUGCACCUUGAGCCAAAGAGGAUGCAGGGCUCUUGGGACCCAAGAGCCUGAGUAGGGCUUCUGCCCUCCCUCUCCGGCCUGAAGUUUCCCAUUCAUCAGCUGGAACCUUCACACCUGCCCAGAGGACUGCUGACUCGCACUGACGGUGGCCACAAGAAUUCAGAUGUGAUGGCUGCAGCUUAAGCAGCCAUCAUGGACCAUGAAGUAGACACACUAAACCUGCUGCAGGAGCAAGAUGGAAGGAGUCUGGACCUCUGACAAUGACAGUUUCACAAAACUUUUCCUGGGGUGUACGCCUCCAGACACCUCUUAUUCCUGAGAGGCAGAUAAACUGCUCCCUUUUAAAGCCACUGUUGUUUUGAGUUGAUCUGUUACACAUAGUCAAACCUGAUCCAAACUCAAAAAUAAAAGAAAAAGCAAAAAAACCUGAUCCAAACUGAUUCAAGUCCCUGCUGUGUGACAGACACUCUUCGAGGUUGUGGUGACCCAGCAGUGAGGAUAGGAUGGUCACCAGCACAGUGACCAUAGUGCCUGCCCUGUACAGCCACAUUCCAGUGGAGAGAAAGCUAUAUAUGAGGAAACA
This 1122-nucleotide long non-coding RNA is filed under the name Homo sapiens (human). RNAcentral's name for it is "HSALNT0070239". The record is from RNAcentral. Lineage: Eukaryota; Metazoa; Chordata; Mammalia; Primates; Hominidae.